This 326-nucleotide ribosomal RNA is filed under the name uncultured eukaryote. RNAcentral's name for it is "partial 18S ribosomal RNA". It matches the Rfam family "Eukaryotic small subunit ribosomal RNA", at positions 1470 to 1796 of the family's 1831-position model. The record is from RNAcentral.
CCCUUAGAUGUUCUGGGCCGCACGCGCGCUACACUGAUGAAUUCAACGAGCACUAACCUGUGCCGAAAGGUUCGGGUAAUCUUGUGAAAUUUCAUCGUGACGGGGAUUGAUUAUUGCAAUUUUUAAUCAUAAACGAGGAAUGCCUAGUAAGCGUGAGUCAUCAGCUCACGUUGAUUACGUCCCUGCCCUUUGUACACACCGCCCGUCGCUCCUACCGAUUGAAUGUGCCAGUGAAAAGUUCGGAUUGGAGAUAGGAGACGGCAACGUAUCCUAUUUCCGAGAAAAUCUUUAAACUUUCCCAUUUAGAGGAAGGAGAAGUCGUAACA